UACGAAGGGGGCUAGCGUUGUUCGGAAUCACUGGGCGUAAAGCGCACGCAGGCGGAUUGAUAAGUCAGGGGUGAAACCCCGAGGCUCAACCUCGGAAUUGCCUUUGAUACUGUCUAUCUUCGAGUUCGGGAGAGGUUGGCGGAAUUCCUAGUGUAGAGGUGAAAUUCGUAGAUAUUAGGAAGAACACCAGUGGCGAAGGCGGCCAACUGGCCCGAUACUGACGCUCAUGUGCGAAAGCGUGGGGAGCAAACAGG
RNAcentral lists this ribosomal RNA (254 nucleotides) under uncultured bacterium. RNAcentral's name for it is "partial 16S ribosomal RNA". It matches the Rfam family "Bacterial small subunit ribosomal RNA", at positions 524 to 776 of the family's 1533-position model. The record is from RNAcentral.